This 491-nucleotide long non-coding RNA is filed under the name Marmota monax (woodchuck). The record is from RNAcentral. Lineage: Eukaryota; Metazoa; Chordata; Mammalia; Rodentia; Sciuridae.
CAUUUGUCAAAGUUGGAAGAGAGGGAGGAAGAGAGCCAGGCAUACAGGAAUAUUGUAUGUUGCGUCUGUCUGCACCACUCUGCCCUCAGAGGUGGGCUGGGCAUUCCCAGCCCCUGCAUGGAGAAGUCGUCUGGCUAACUGCUAACUGCUGCUUUGGUGAUAGAUCUAAGGAUAGGCAGCUGCACACAUCACUCUUCUUACCCUCUUCCUGCAGAAAUCGUGGUCCCCACCAUCGAGGUUGAUCAAGACAGACACGUUUUCCUUUCCUCUCCCUGAGGACAGAGACCAAAUGGAAAUCAUGUCGUGUUAUUAUUUGUACACUAACUGAAAACUUUAUGACUUUUUGUAAAAAUAUAGACAAAUAUGUUGUCUGCCGAGAACGGAAGAUAAGAAACAAACCAAGUUAUUGGCAACAUUUCCCACGAGUUCCCUGUGAGCAAGAAUGAAUCAUUCAUUGGAUGUUCAGGCAACAACCACCACCAACCCUGCCU